GAAAUAGGCAACACGCUGCACCGUCGCGCUUCAGUUCGUAGAAGGGGACGAUUUUUUCUCUUCAGGACAGCGUCCAGGCCGGCUCUGGGUACUACCCACCUAGCCUCCCGUUCAUCUGGAAAACGAACGCGUGUUUCGGUGCGGAGUGCGUGUCUCCAGUCUUGUUAUUUGGAAUUCAAGGAGCAGAGGCAACGCCCGAAGGCGAACAUUUCCUGUGCUUGAGGUCCACAGAGUGGGAAGAGUUUGAAAAAUGAGGAACAGAAAGAAAGAAAAGAAAGUUCUGACAAUUCUGGCACCAGCAAGCGCUGUCAAUGCUCGGAAAACUACUUUCGAAACAAGAGAGAUGGUGACUGUGUGUGUUGCUGUAAUUGGAUUCACGAGGUUUGCUCUCCAUACGAUAUGAAAUGCGUCGACUGCGGCAGAAAGAUCUUGCGAGAAUCUAACAGCAGGAACCAGAAGUAAAUGGAGAACAUUUCAUUUACUGAUGAUUGGACUCUAGUUCAGUAGUUUAAGCUCAGGCUCCGGGUAAAGUUAGGAACCUUUUUCUUUUAAUGUACCUACAUAAUAAUUAAACAAUUCUUUUGAACUUCUAUUAUA
Molecule: long non-coding RNA, 597 nt
Organism: Zootermopsis nevadensis
Lineage: Eukaryota; Metazoa; Arthropoda; Insecta; Blattodea; Termopsidae
Source: RefSeq, a predicted model, not a curated record